Molecule: unclassified non-coding RNA, 284 nt
Filed under: Hevea brasiliensis (rubber tree)
Lineage: Eukaryota; Viridiplantae; Streptophyta; Magnoliopsida; Malpighiales; Euphorbiaceae
Source: RNAcentral
CUGAUAUUGGCGACAGGAACCUGCACACUUGGAAAGACGAUGCUGGCCAACUUCCGCGGCGAAUUCGACGUCGGAAACACUUGUGGAAUGAGUUCCGGAAGUCCGGCAGAGGAGGCGAAGCCUGGGGAUGGCAGUUCUGGAAUUGGAGAGAGGAUAAGUUGUUCUAUAGAGAGAGAGAGAGUUUCUUGUUUGGUGAAAUCGUGGAGCUGAAGUGUUGUUUCUGGAUAAGAGGAGCGUAGGAGAAGAGAGGUCCGUAGCCAUCUGGUGGACUACUGGCAACGUUA